Molecule: ribosomal RNA, 504 nt
Filed under: uncultured bacterium
Lineage: Bacteria
Description: partial 16S ribosomal RNA
Rfam family: Bacterial small subunit ribosomal RNA
Source: RNAcentral
ACGAACGCUGGCGGCGUGCCUAAUACAUGCAAGUGGGACGCAAGGAAACACACUGUGCUUGCACACCGUGUUUUCUUGAGUCGCGGACGGGUGAGUAACGCGUAGGUAACCUGCCUAUUAGCGGGGGAUAACUAUUGGAAACGAUAGCUAAUACCGCAUAAUAUUAAUUAUUGCAUGAUAAUUGAUUGAAAGAUGCAAGCGCAUCACUAGUAGAUGGACCUGCGUUGUAUUAGCUAGUUGGUAAGGUAAGAGCUUACCAAGGCGACGAUACAUAGCCGACCUGAGAGGGUGAUCGGCCACACUGGGACUGAGACACGGCCCAGACUCCUACGGGAGGCAGCAGUAGGGAAUCUUCGGCAAUGGACGAAAGUCUGACCGAGCAACGCCGCGUGAGUGAAGAAGGUUUUCGGAUCGUAAAGCUCUGUUGUAAGUCAAGAACGUGUGUGAGAGUGGAAAGUUCACACAGUGACGGUAGCUUACCAGAAAGGGACGGCUAACUACGUG